This is a long non-coding RNA of Equus caballus (horse), 4152 nucleotides long. The record is from Ensembl. NCBI's taxonomy places the organism in Eukaryota, Metazoa, Chordata, Mammalia, Perissodactyla, Equidae.
GCCCUGCCGAGGCCACAGCCGGCGCCUGUCCUCCCAGGUCGUCUCGAAGGCGAAGAUGAAAGCCACCCGACACGGGCGCCCCGUUUCGCUGCUUUACACAAACAGCCAUCAUCCUUCCCACGCCCAUGCGGAAAUCAGCAAACAGAAACCCGCUCAGAGUGGAGCGGUGAGGCCGGCAGGGGAGACCCAGGGUAGGCACCAGUCCGUCAAUCGCAACAGGAGGAGAGUACUCGCAUUUCUAGAGCAAGUGACACUACUUUGCUAACUCCAGGAGGAGGAGGGAAGAUUACCUUCUCACCCGGCAACAGCUCAGCCAAUGAGAAGCCCCGCAGCUCAGCCAAUGAGAAAUAAUAUAGCUCAGCCAAUGAGAAAUGCUGCAGCUCAGCCAAUGAGAAACACUGCAGCUCAGCCAAUGAGAAGUGCUACAGCUCAGCCAAUGAGAAGCCCCGCAGCUCAGCCAAUGAGAGACUGUCACAACUCAGCCAAUGAAAGGCCACUACACUUCCGACGCCCAUCUUCCUCCAGCGACUCUUCCUGUACGACAGCGCCUCCCACUCCCCUUCUCUGUAGGAGAAGAUCCUCUGCUUUGUUUCCCUGGACCUGCCUGUGGUUCAUAGAUUGUCAACACCGAUACUAAUGAAAAGAUGAAAAAAAAAAAAAAAAAGGUGCUGCCCAUCGUGAUGCAACUGCCCUUCUAUACUUGAGAAAGUCUGCUCACCCCUCCCUGACAGGCCCACCCGGGUCUUGUCGGGAGUGCCAGGAUGCACACUUUAUCCCUUCUCCCUCUAUUGCCUUUGUGACUGUGAAGCUCAUGGGGGAAACUUGCAAACUUUACCACCAAGAACCACGUGAGAUAAAAUGGGAAAGACAAAGAAGAGGAGAAUUCAUUUAUCAUAUGAUAUCUCAGAAAGGAAGAACAUGCAGAUCCAUGCUAGGGUCUUCAUCUCUACAGCUGGACAAGCGGCAGGGGUUGGUAUUUAUGACUUUGCCUGUAGCCAGCCCCUCCGUAGGUUGCAUCUGCACCUAGAACAGUGACCCAAACCAUCAUUCCUGAGGAAUAUGAGCGCUGGGUGAUCCUGCCUGCAUCUGGCUGCUAUAAUCUUCUAUGAGCUGUUACCCUUGGGCGUGGUAGUCCUAGGAGGUGUUUCGGGCAAUCCCCCAGAUUCCAACCAUCUUCCUUCCUGUACCAGCAAUCCUAUGUCCCCUUCAUAAUCUGGGGUUCAGGUCCCUGCUCUUCCACUUGCUGGGUGACUUGGACAGGUUGUUUGAUGUCCCUGUGACUCAGUUUCUUUAUUAGUGUAAUGGGAAUAACAAUGUUGCCAAACAUGUCAUAAGGAGUUUCAUGAGGUCACAGGUGUAGGCUGAAGGUGGGGGAGCAGGGAGGUACGACUACGCCUAUCGGGAGUGUGACCCACCUGCUCGUGCAACUUACCUGUGCUCAAGGUCUUUGAUGGAGGCACUAACUUCUGUGACUUCUCUGGAGAUGAAGUUCUGCUUGUGUCUACUAUUUUGGCAGGGCGGUCGAGCUGUAGGGUUUCACUUAGCCCUUCCUUCUUUCCGUCCAUCCAUUCAUUUGGCAAGUCAGUGCUGAGCACCAGCUAUGUGCUAGGCACUCAGAAUACAGUGGUAGAUAAACAGACGAAAACCUGCCUCCGUGGAGCUUACAGACCAGUGCGUGCAGACAAUGAAAAAGAAAGAGAGACACUAACACAUUAGAAAGUGCUAAGCACUCUGCAGAAAACACCAACGAUAGGGACGAGGAGUGCCAGAUGUGCCCGUCCCCCCAAAAGAGGUAUGUUGACGUCGUAACCCCCAGGAACUCAGAAUGUGACUUUAUUUGGAAAUAGGGUCAUUGCUGACGCAGUUAGUUAAGAUGAGGACAUAAUGCAGGAGGGUGAGCACCUAAUCUGAUAUGACGGGUGUCCCUAUAAAACGGCAGAAAUGUGAGCACAGAGGGAAGACGGUGUGACAACACACAGGGAGAAGACAGCCAUCUACAGCCAUGGAGCCGCCCGGGUCAGAUCCCUCACAAGGAACCAGCCCUGCCAACAGCAAAGAGUUUGGGGCGGAGGACAAGGUUCCCAGGACAAGGGUGGCUGCAUGGCCAAAUCCUAGGAGGCAAAACUGACUGAUCAAUGGCUGACCCAGGACACAAGCCCCUUCUUUUUUGCCGCCUCUGGCCUGACCCUGUCUGUCCCACGGGCCUGCUCACUGCCGCCAGGCGGGCCCCUGCCCACAGUAUGGGGGCAGAUGUUCCGGCCGCUCUCCCUUCCCCUGACAGCCAGUGGAGAUGUGGUCAGUCAGUGGGUCCAGAGCAUUCCCUCACCAUGUCCAGCUGCCCCCCAGGAAGCCUUGGCGUGGGGCGGGCCUCGUGACACACAUUCUCCUGCACUCCGGAGGGCAGAGAACCGUGGGUCCCUCUCACCUCCUGAGCUGGUUCCUGUGCUUGGGACAGUCCCAAGUAAGGCUGAGGGUGAGGGACAGCAGUGCUGGCCAACAGAGGGCCAGCCCAGUCGCAGCAGCCCCACCAUCCCCUCGCCCCAGGGGGUCAGUGUUUGCCUCGUCUCAGAGAAGCCUAGGGGUUUGCUUUGGGGAAGGUGCUGCGGGAAGCCAAACCCCUGGGAGUUGCCGUGAUCAGUGGCCCCCUGCCCCCCUGCCCCCCGCCUUCCUCCCUCCCAGGGCAUCGGCCCUUCCAAGCCUUCAGCAGAUACCACAGAUGCCUUUCUGCAGCCCUGUGCUGGACCAGCUGCCCGACACAUGCUCCUUAACUCAGUCCCCACAUGGUUCCAGGCAGCGAUUAUCAGGUGGGAGACCAAGGCCCCCAGAGGGACGGGGGCUUGUCCAAGGUCCCUCAGCGAGCAGGUGGGGAGCCGAGGAACCCUCUGUUCCAAGCCUGCUGUCUUCCCUGCCUCCCAGAGGAGCUCUCCUCCCUGGGUCUUGAGGAGACACUGGAGGUGGUCACUGGCCAGAGCAGCCUGCAGAGUGGUCACUCCUGUCCAGCAGUGGCAGAAAGGCCGAGCUGCCCCCAGAGACCUCCAGGCUUCAGCCACCCCUCACCACCACCCGCAGAGGCAGGAGAGCCCCGUGUGGUGCAUUUUGCUCUGAGGGGUGGACUUCUGCCAGGGAUCAAUCAGGGCUCAGGGCCACCUAUCAGUAGGGGCGCUAGUAAUCAAUACCACUGAGUCACCUCUGGGUGCUUCCCACCAGCCAGGAGCCAGGCUAAAGCUUCCUGUGCACCACCCAUGGCCCCUCACUGCACCCUCCGGUGAGCGCCCUCAGGGGCCCGUCUUGCAGGUGUGGCGAAGAAACCUGGCCCAGGUAACACCCUGGGAGGCCUUGGGGCCAAGUGCUCGUGCUUCCAGUUUCCUCAUCACUGCGCACUGUCACCCUCCCACUUCACACCUGGCACCCCUCCUCCUCCUCCUCGAAGCCCCCUCCCUGGAACAUGCAGGUGAUUGCAACAACCCCCGAUGAACACUUUGACCAGCCAAGGUCCACUGAGAACCAGGGACAACCAGUGCCUCUGCUCCCAGAAUGCCAGCUUGUGUAUUUAACUGAGGGCUGCUGGCACCUGGAGGAGACUGGAACCUUUUAAGUUAACAACUUCUUGUAUUUUCCUUGCUGUCCAGAGGGUCAUCACUGUGCUAAGUUCAGAUGCUGUGCCAGCACCGCCUCCCCCCAUCCUCCCUUCCCCCCACCCCCAACACAUUGGCUGUCACUUUAAGACUUAUGUGUAUAAACUUAACCAUUAGAAAAAAACGAAUUGAGAUUUUGGUGGGAGGUUGUAUUAGUUUCUUAGGGCUGCUGUAACAAAUGACCACAAACUGGGGGAGGCUGAAAUCAACAGAAAUGUGUUCUCUUGCAGUUCUGGAGCGAGGAGUCUGAAAUCAAGGUUUCAGCGGGUCUUAGGGGUGGAUCCUUGCGUCUUCCAGCUCCUGGUGGCGAUGGCGCUCCUUGGCUUGUAGACGCAUCCCUCCAACCUCUGCCUCCGUCUUCACGUGGCAUUCUCCCUGCGUGUGUUCUGUCUCUGUGUCCAAACGUCCCUCUUUCUAUAAGGACACUAGUCAUCGGAUCAGGGUCCACCCUAAUGACCUCAUCUUACCUUGAUUACAUCUGCGAAUACUUUAUUUCCAAAUAAGGCCACACUCACAG